Molecule: ribosomal RNA, 253 nt
Filed under: uncultured bacterium
Lineage: Bacteria
Description: partial 16S ribosomal RNA
Rfam family: Archaeal small subunit ribosomal RNA
Source: RNAcentral
UACCAGCACCCCGAGUGGUCGGGACGAUUAUUGGGCCUAAAGCAUCCGUAGCCGGUUCUACAAGUCUUCCGUUAAAUCCACCUGCUCAACAGAUGGGCUGCGGAGGAUACUAUAGAGCUAGGAGGCGGGAGAGGCAAGCGGUACUUAGUGGGUAGGGGUAAAAUCCGUUGAUCCAUUGAAGACCACCAGUGGCGAAGGCGGCUUGCCAGAACGCACUCGACGGUGAGGGAUGAAAGCUGGGGGGGCAAACCGG